GUUCUUCUCAGUCUCUUUCUUCAUAACCUUGGCAACGGCCAUCUCAAAAUCCUCCUGCGUCACAUGAACUCUUCUCUCCCUAAGAGCAAACAUUCCUGCUUCUGUGCAGACAGCCUUCAUUUCUGCUCCAGAUGCUCCAUUCAUCUUUUCAGCAAUUUUCUUUAGAUCAAUUCCCCGCAUCAAGUUCAUUUUCCUUGAGUGAAUUUUCAAAAUGUCGCAGCGAGACUCUUC
RNAcentral lists this unclassified non-coding RNA (231 nucleotides) under Hevea brasiliensis (rubber tree). Lineage: Eukaryota; Viridiplantae; Streptophyta; Magnoliopsida; Malpighiales; Euphorbiaceae. The record is from RNAcentral.